RNAcentral lists this ribosomal RNA (1603 nucleotides) under uncultured eukaryote. Its description in RNAcentral is "SSU rRNA". It matches the Rfam family "Eukaryotic small subunit ribosomal RNA". The record is from RNAcentral.
AUUAAAACAGUUAUAGUUUGCUUGAGGUAUAAAUUACCGGAUAACUGUGGAAAUACUACAGCUAAGACGUAGCAACCUUAUAUAAGGUGUAGCAUAUUUUUUGAAUAGUUUUAACGACUUUUGUCGUUUUUUUGAAUAGUAAAUGCACGAAUCGGAAUUUCCGAGAGUUCAUCAAAGUUUCUGACCUAUCAGGUUUCGACGGUAGGGUAUUGGCCUACCGUGCCUAUGACGGGUAACGGGGGAUGAGGGUUCGGUCCCGGAGAGGGAGCUUGAGAAAUGGCUACCACAUCUAAGGAAGGCAGCAGGCGCGCAAAUUACCGAUCCCUGACAUAGGGAGGUAGUAAACAGAAAUAAUGACACAUGAUAAAUAUCGUGUGAUCGGAAUGAGUAGCACUCAAACGAUGUUACGAAAUCAAUUGGAGGGCAAGUCUGGUGCCAGCAGCCGCGGUAAUUCCAGCUCCAAUAGCGUAUAUUAAAGUUGUUGCAGUUGAAAAGUUCGUAGUCGAUUUUUGUUCGCUUAAGCUAAGGUAAUAUGAAUAUUAUUCGUAUUACACUAUGCGUUGGGUGAAAUAAAUGGAGAACAUUCAAUUUGAAUGAACUUCAUCAUUACUUUGAGUGAAUCGGUGUGCUUAAAGCAGGUGUUAUGCCAUGAACGAUUUACCAUAGUAUUACCAUAAUAUGAAAGCAAUUUUUAUUCAAGAUUUCUUUGUAUAGAAAUAAGAAUGGCUGGGGGCAUUCGUAUCCAAUUGCCAGAGGUGAAAUUCUUUGACUAGUUGAGGACGAACAACUGCGAAAGCAUCUGCCAAGGACGUGUCUGUUGAUCAAGAACGAAAGUUAGGUGAUCGAAGAUGAUUAGAUACCGUCGUAGUCCUGACUAUAAACUAUGCUAUCCAAGAAUUGGAGCGGUAAUUUAAUAUACCUUUCCAGUACUUUGUGAGAAAUUAUAAGACUUUGAGUUCUGGGGGGAGUAUAGUUGCAAGGCCGAAACUUAAAGGAAUUGACGGAAGGGCACCACCAGGAGUGGAGCUUGCGGCUUAAUUUGACUCAACACGGGAAAACUUACCAGGAUAAGACAUAAGAAGGAUUGACAGAUUGAUUGUUCUUUCUUGAUGUUGUGGGUGGUGGUGCAUGGCCGUUCUUAGUUCGUGGAGUAAUCUGUCUGGUUAAUUCCGUUAACGAACGAGACCUUAAUUUGAUAAUUGGACUCUAUGUCAUAGCAUAGAGGUUUCAUUAUAAGGACUAUGUGUGUUAUAACACAAGGAAGUUUAAGGCAAUAACAGGUCUGUGAUGCCCUUAGAUAUCCUGGGCAGCACGCGUGCUACAUUGAUGUAAAUAACGAGUUUCGCAAAUCGAGAGACGUGUGAAAUCAUUAAUUUACAUCAACCCAGGGAUUGCUUGUUGUAAUUUCAAGCAUGAACUAGGAAUUCCUAGUAAGCAUGAAUCACUAGUUCGUGUUGAUUAUGUCCCUGCCCUUUGUACACACCGCCUGUCGCACCUAUCGAUUAGGUAACAUGGUGAAAACGAAGGAGAUUUUUUCGAGAGUUCGCUCCUCAGAGGAGAUUGAAUUCGUGUGAACCUUGUUAUCCAGAGAAAGGUGAAGUCA